UUAGUACGGCGAGUGAACCGGGAUGAGCUCAAAUUUAAAAUCUGGCGUCUUUCAGGCGUCCGAGUUGUAAUCUAUAGAGGCGUUUUCCGCGCCGGACCGCGUCCAAGUCUCUUGGAAUAGAGUAUCAAAGAGGGUGACAAUCCCGUACUUGACGCGACAACCGGUGCUCUGUGAUACGUUCUCAAUGAGUCGAGUUGUUUGGGAAUGCAGCUCUAAAUGGGUGGUAAAUUCCAUCUAAGGCUAAAUAUUGGCGAGAGACCGAUAGCGAACAAGUACCGUGAGGGAAAGAUGAAAAGCACUUUGGAAAGAGAGUUAAACAGCACGUGAAAUUGUUAAAAGGGAAACGAUUGAAGUCAGUCGUGUGAAAGGUAUUCAGCCGUCUCUGGCGGUGUAUUUGCCUUUCACGGGUCAACAUCAGUUUGAUCCGGUAGAAAAAGGCAGGAGGAAGGUGGCACCCUCGGGUGUGUUAUAGCCUCUUGUCAUAUGUGCCGGACCAGACUGAGGAACGCAGCUUGCCGCAAGGCCGGGGUUCGCCCACGUACAAGCUUAGGAUGUUGACAUAAUGGCUUUAAACGACCCGUCUUGAAACACGGACCAAAAAA
RNAcentral lists this ribosomal RNA (602 nucleotides) under Vishniacozyma victoriae. Its description in RNAcentral is "eukaryotic LSU rRNA". It matches the Rfam family "Eukaryotic large subunit ribosomal RNA", at positions 80 to 673 of the family's 3401-position model. The record is from RNAcentral. Lineage: Eukaryota; Fungi; Basidiomycota; Tremellomycetes; Tremellales; Bulleribasidiaceae.